This 424-nucleotide ribosomal RNA is filed under the name uncultured bacterium. RNAcentral describes it as "bacterial SSU rRNA". It matches the Rfam family "Bacterial small subunit ribosomal RNA", at positions 355 to 796 of the family's 1533-position model. The record is from RNAcentral.
CAAGGAAUUUUCGUCAAUGGGCGCAAGCCUGAACGAGCAACGCCGCGUGGAGGAUGACGGCCUUCGGGUUGUAAACUCCUUUUUCGGGGGACGAUGAUGACGGUACCCCGGGAAUAAGGCUCGGCUAACUCUGUGCCAGCAGCCGCGGUAAUACAGAGGAGCCAAGCGUUGUCCGGAUUGACUGGGCGUAAAGCGCACGCAGGCGGUCUGGCGCGUGGGGUGUGAAAUCUGGCCGCUUAACGGCCAGGCGCCAUCCCAUACGGCCGGACUGGAGCCAUGCAGAGGUCGGUGGAAUUGCCGGUGUAGUGGUGAAAUGCGUAGAGAUCGGCAGGAACACCCAGGGGGAAACCAGCCGACUGGGCAUGUGCUGACGCUGAAGUGCGAGAGCGUGGGGAGCGAACCGGAUUAGAUACCCCUGUAGUCC